UUUUUGUGGGGUGUUUCUGGUUGUCUGUGGGUCUGCCCUGUGGACAAGUGCCUGGGAAGGUGGUCUGUGUACCUGGGAAAUGACUUCUGUGGCUUUUCUGUGUGCUCUGCCUGUGGGUAGCUGUGUCUGUGAACUUAGCUCUAUGAAAGCAAGAAGCCUAUGAGAAUUCCGCCAGGGGCAAGCCUGGCCUUGGCGCUUCACUGUCUUAGCGUGUGUCUGGCCCUCCCAUUCCUGGCCAAGGCCCACAGCCACCACAGAUGACCUGCUGAUGCCUCUGCUGAAAUCCGUGGCCACUGGCCAACAGCUUGACAAGAGUGUCAGCUCCCUCCCGAGACGAAAUCAGAGGAAAACGCCUCUAGUUUCUAAGAAGCACACAGGGAGCCACUUCUUUACCGCUAGCUCCUGCAGGAUCUGUGGGAUCCUGCAGGUGCUGGUUUGCCUCCUGAGCCCUGUCCUAAGGACACUCUGCACAUCGCCUCCUGGUGAGUGAGCUGGGG
RNAcentral lists this long non-coding RNA (497 nucleotides) under Homo sapiens (human). RNAcentral's name for it is "non-protein coding lnc-HSPH1-1:2". Lineage: Eukaryota; Metazoa; Chordata; Mammalia; Primates; Hominidae. The record is from RNAcentral.